Molecule: ribosomal RNA, 490 nt
Filed under: uncultured fungus
Lineage: Eukaryota; Fungi
Description: eukaryotic LSU rRNA
Rfam family: 5.8S ribosomal RNA (bases 89-242)
Source: RNAcentral
CGGGAUUCGUUUCGUUUUCCCGGAUUAUUUGUAUUCAAAUCCCACUCUUUAUAAAUAUAUUAAUUAUAUAAAACAAAAUAAGAAAGAAAACUUUCAACAACGGAUCUCUUGGCUCUCGCAUCGAUGAAGAACGCAGCGAAAUGCGAUACGUAGUGUGAAUUGCAGAAUUCCGUGAAUCAUCGAAUCUUUGAACGCAAAUUGUACUUUCCAGUAAUCUGGGAAGUAUGCUUGGUUGAGGGUCAUUAUAAUAACAUUCGUGAAUUUUUCGCGGAUUUGAGUUUUCCAGUAUUUAAUAUAAAAAUGUUGGUAACUUUAAAAUUAUUUAUUACUUGGUACAAGUUGAAAACGUACUAUAUGUGUGGUUCGCUGACGACUUGUCCAUCUUCAUAUAUUAUGCGCGCACUUGGUUUUUUACGCUCUAUGUGUGUAUAUAUUUUUUUUAUGACCUCAGCUCAAGCAAGAAUACCCGCUGAACUUAAGCAUAUCAAUA